AACGCGAAAAACCUUACCUACCCUUGACAUGUACGGAAUGCCGAAGAGAUUUGGCAGUGCUCGAAAGAGAACCGUAACACAGGUGCUGCAUGGCUGUCGUCAGCUCGUGUCGUGAGAUGUUGGGUUAAGUCCCGCAACGAGCGCAACCCUUGUCAUUAGUUGCUACAUUCAGUUGAGCACUCUAAUGAGACUGCCGGUGACAAACCGGAGGAAGGUGGGGAUGACGUCAAGUCCUCAUGGCCCUUAUGGGUAGGGCUUCACACGUCAUACAAUGGUACAUACAGAGGGCCGCCAACCCGCGAGGGGGAGCUAAUCCCAGAAAGUGUAUCGUAGUCCGGAUCGUAGUCUGCAACUCGACUACGUGAAGUUGGAAUCGCUAGUAAUCGCGGGAUCAGCAUGCC
This 401-nucleotide ribosomal RNA is filed under the name Massilia sp. UR52. RNAcentral describes it as "bacterial SSU rRNA". It matches the Rfam family "Bacterial small subunit ribosomal RNA", at positions 958 to 1358 of the family's 1533-position model. Lineage: Bacteria; Pseudomonadati; Pseudomonadota; Betaproteobacteria; Burkholderiales; Oxalobacteraceae. The record is from RNAcentral.